UUGCUAUGAAGAGUAUAUGAGAUAGUGAAAGUAUAUCAAAAAUUCUUGAUGAUGCGUUCAACAACUAUGUUGAUCUGAGCGGUUACCUGAGCAA
Small nucleolar RNA from Corchorus capsularis, 94 nucleotides. It matches the Rfam family "small nucleolar RNA snoR128". The record is from Rfam. Lineage: Eukaryota; Viridiplantae; Streptophyta; Magnoliopsida; Malvales; Malvaceae.